GCACUGGUGGUUCAGUGGUAGAAUUCUCGCUUGCCACGCUGGAGGCCCGGGUUCGAUUCCCGGCCAGUGCA
This is a non-coding RNA of Nematostella vectensis (starlet sea anemone), 71 nucleotides long. Lineage: Eukaryota; Metazoa; Cnidaria; Anthozoa; Actiniaria; Edwardsiidae. The record is from Rfam.